This 278-nucleotide ribosomal RNA is filed under the name uncultured bacterium. RNAcentral's name for it is "partial 16S ribosomal RNA". It matches the Rfam family "Bacterial small subunit ribosomal RNA", at positions 335 to 605 of the family's 1533-position model. The record is from RNAcentral.
ACUCCUACGGGAGGCAGCAGUGGGAAUAUUGCACAAUGGGGGAAACCCUGAUGCAGCCAUGCCGCGUGUGUGAAGAAGGCCUUCGGGUUGUAAAGCACUUUCAGCGAGGAGGAAAGGGUGUGUGUUAAUACCAUACAUCUGUUGACGUUACUCGCAGAAGAAGCACCGGCUAACUCCGUGCCAGCAGCCGCGGUAAUACGGAGGGUGCGAGCGUUAAUCGGAAUUACUGGGCGUAAAGCGUGCGCAGGCGGUUUGUUAAGCGAGAUGUGAAAGCCCGC